This is a non-coding RNA of Podarcis muralis (Common wall lizard), 222 nucleotides long. Lineage: Eukaryota; Metazoa; Chordata; Lepidosauria; Squamata; Lacertidae. The record is from RefSeq and is a predicted model, not a curated record.
AGGUUCAGGUGCUUAAGAUGCCUGAUCAGCCGCAGCAACAGGCUGGCCCCCUGCAAGGCCUGGAGCAGCCCGUGGCAUCAGCACAUCUUUGGCCCCUUGGAUCUGCCCCUGAGCCUGGCCCUGGAAGCCCUCCUUCAGCUGAGUUUCAGCUGCGAUAUGGUCAGUGCUAUCCUGCAUAGGAUAAUGGAGGCUGUUCUUGGGGGCGCAGAAAAGGAGGAGGAC